UACUGUUGUUGAUCUUGUUUUGUUUAUUCCUUUACUUUUUCCAAGGGCCGAUUCUGGGCACAGGAAACAGCGGCCUGAGAUCAGUUUUCAUCUUGGAAGCUACAGCAUUUCUGAGUUGGCAGGAGAUUCUGAUUCCAGUGAAUACCCCAGCAAAUUUGGCAAUGAGAGUAAAACUUCUGGAAGUUCCUGAAUCACGUAAGAGGUUCUGUGGACACAUAAUAGUCAGGUAAGAGACUUUAACUUAUAAAGUCUCCCUUCUGGCUCUCCGCUCUUUUGGAAUACUUGU
Molecule: long non-coding RNA, 286 nt
Filed under: Mustela putorius furo (domestic ferret)
Lineage: Eukaryota; Metazoa; Chordata; Mammalia; Carnivora; Mustelidae
Description: lncRNA (ENSMPUG00000030533.1)
Source: RNAcentral